Molecule: ribosomal RNA, 1559 nt
Filed under: uncultured bacterium
Lineage: Bacteria
Description: bacterial SSU rRNA
Rfam family: Bacterial small subunit ribosomal RNA
Source: RNAcentral
AUGCCUUACACAUGCAAGUCGAACGGCAGCACGGAGCUUGCUCUGGUGGCGAGUGGCGAACGGGUGAGUAAUAUAUCGGAACGUACCCAAGAGUGGGGGAUAACGUAGCGAAAGUUACGCUAAUACCGCAUACGAUCUAAGGAUGAAAGCAGGGGAUCUUCGGACCUUGUGCUCCUGGAGCGGCCGAUAUCUGAUUAGCUAGUUGGUGAGGUAAAGGCUCACCAAGGCAUCGAUCAGUAGCUGGUCUGAGAGGACGACCAGCCACACUGGAACUGAGACACGGUCCAGACUCCUACGGGAGGCAGCAGUGGGGAAUUUUGGACAAUGGGGGCAACCCUGAUCCAGCAAUGCCGCGUGAGUGAAGAAGGCCUUCGGGUUGUAAAGCUCUUUUGUCAGGGAAGAAACGGUUUUGGCUAAUAUCCAGAGCUAAUGACGGUACCUGAAGAAUAAGCACCGGCUAACUACGUGCCAGCAGCCGCGGUAAUACGUAGGGUGCAAGCGUUAAUCGGAAUUACUGGGCGUAAAGCGUGCGCAGGCGGUUUUGUAAGACUGUCGUGAAAUCCCCGGGCUCAACCUGGGAAUGGCGAUGGUGACUGCAAGGCUAGAGUUUGGCAGAGGGGGGUAGAAUUCCACGUGUAGCAGUGAAAUGCGUAGAUAUGUGGAGGAACACCGAUGGCGAAGGCAGCCCCCUGGGUCAAAACUGACGCUCAUGCACGAAAGCGUGGGGAGCAAACAGGAUUAGAUACCCUGGUAGUCCACGCCCUAAACGAUGUCUACUAGUUGUCGGGUCUUAAUUGACUUGGUAACGCAGCUAACGCGUGAAGUAGACCGCCUGGGGAGUACGGUCGCAAGAUUAAAACUCAAAGGAAUUGACGGGGACCCGCACAAGCGGUGGAUGAUGUGGAUUAAUUCGAUGCAACGCGAAAAACCUUACCUACCCUUGACAUGGCAGGAAUCCCGGAGAGAUUUGGGAGUGCUCGAAAGAGAACCUGCACACAGGUGCUGCAUGGCUGUCGUCAGCUCGUGUCGUGAGAUGUUGGGUUAAGUCCCGCAACGAGCGCAACCCUUGUCAUUAGUUGCCACGCAAGAGCACUCUAAUGAGACUGCCGGUGACAAACCGGAGGAAGGUGGGGAUGACGUCAAGUCCUCAUGGCCCUUAUGGGUAGGGCUUCACACGUCAUACAAUGGUACAUACAGAGGGCCGCCAACCCGCGAGGGGGAGCUAAUCCCAGAAAGUGUAUCGUAGUCCGGAUUGCAGUCUGCAACUCGACUGCAUGAAGUUGGAAUCGCUAGUAAUCGCGGAUCAGCAUGUCGCGGUGAAUACGUUCCCGGGUCUUGUACACACCGCCCGUCACACCAUGGGAGCGGGUUUUACCAGAAGUAGGUAGCUUAACCGUAAGGAGGGCGCUUACCACGGUAGGAUUCGUGACUGGGGUGAAGUCGUAACAAGGUANCCCAAGGGCGAAUUUCAGCACACUUGGCGGCCCGUUACUUANUGGGAUUCCGAACCNCGGGUACCAAGCCCUGGGCCGUAAUCAUUGGGUCAUAACCNGUACAGG